AUUGAACGCUGGCGGUAUGCUUAACACAUGCAAGUCGAACGGUAAGAGGUCUAGCUUGCUAGAUUUCACGAGUGGCGGACGGGUGAGUAACGCGUAGGGAUCUGUCUAGUAGACUGGGACAACUCGGGGAAACCCGAGCUAAUACUGGAUAAUGUCGAGAGAAGAAAGGGUGGUUUAGGCCAUUUGCUAUUAGGGGAACCUGCGUUGGAUUAGCUAGUUGGUAGGGUAACGGCCUACCAAGGCGAAGAUCCAUAGCUGUCCUGAGAGGAAGAGCAGCCACACUGGGACUGAGACACGGCCCAGACUCCUACGUGAGGCAGCAGUGGGGAAUAUUGGACAAUGGGCGUAAGCCUGAUCCAGCAAUACCGCGUGUGUGAAGAAGGCCCGAGGGUUGUAAAGCACUUUCGGCGAGGGGGAAGGUUAUAUGUUUAAUAGGCAUAUAGUUUGACGUUACUCGAAGAAGAAGCACCGGCUAACUCUGUGCCAGCCGCCGCGGUAA
Molecule: ribosomal RNA, 499 nt
Filed under: uncultured bacterium
Lineage: Bacteria
Description: partial 16S ribosomal RNA
Rfam family: Bacterial small subunit ribosomal RNA
Source: RNAcentral